Molecule: non-coding RNA, 88 nt
Organism: Marasmius fiardii PR-910
Lineage: Eukaryota; Fungi; Basidiomycota; Agaricomycetes; Agaricales; Marasmiaceae
Source: the annotation of a GenBank genome assembly
AGCAGCAUGGCGCAGUGGUAGCGCGCGGGGCCCAUAUUCCUUUACUUGUGGAACCCCGAGGUCACUUGAUCGAAACAAGUUGCUGCUA